UUUAAGUGCACUUGUGGGUUUCCGUGUCCAACAUUUGAUUGUCCGUCUUAUUUAAAAAUAUUAUGAAAAAAAUUAAAAAAAAUAGUCACACAUAAAAUAUUAUUCAUAUUUUAUCAUCUGAUAACAAUAAAAAUAUUAAUCAUAAAAAAAUUUAAAUAGUACGAACGGUUAAAUGUUUUUUUAACGGAAAGAACGGAUAAAUGUUGA
Molecule: microRNA precursor, 207 nt
Organism: Oryza sativa Japonica Group (Japanese rice)
Lineage: Eukaryota; Viridiplantae; Streptophyta; Magnoliopsida; Poales; Poaceae
Rfam family: MIR812 microRNA precursor family
Source: Rfam